GCUACGGCCAUACCACCCUGAACGCCGAUCUCGUCUGAUCUCGAAGCUAAGCAGGGUCGGGCCUGGUCAGUACUUGGAUGGAGACCGCCUGGGAAUACCAGGUGCUGUAAGCU
RNAcentral lists this ribosomal RNA (113 nucleotides) under Oreochromis niloticus (Nile tilapia). Lineage: Eukaryota; Metazoa; Chordata; Actinopteri; Cichliformes; Cichlidae. The record is from RNAcentral.